RNAcentral lists this transfer RNA (92 nucleotides) under Microbacteriaceae bacterium. RNAcentral's name for it is "tRNA-Leu". The record is from RNAcentral. Lineage: Bacteria; Bacillati; Actinomycetota; Actinomycetes; Micrococcales; Microbacteriaceae.
UGCGAGGCUAAACCGGUACUGCCAGGCGAAUUCCGCAGACGAUCUCUGGGCUCAUAACCCAGAGGUCGCAGGUUCAAAUCCUGUCCCCGCAA